RNAcentral lists this ribosomal RNA (380 nucleotides) under uncultured bacterium. RNAcentral describes it as "bacterial SSU rRNA". It matches the Rfam family "Bacterial small subunit ribosomal RNA", at positions 362 to 759 of the family's 1533-position model. The record is from RNAcentral.
UUUUGGACAAUGGGCGCAAGCCUGAUCCAGCCAUGCCGCGUGAGUGAUGAAGGCCUUAGGGUUGUAAAGCUCUUUUGCCGGGGACGAUAAUGACGGUACCCGGAGAAUAAGUCCCGGCUAACUUCGUGCCAGCAGCCGCGGUAAUACGAAGGGGACUAGCGUUGUUCGGAAUCACUGGGGGUAAAGCGCACGUAGGCGGAUUUGUAAGUCAGGGGUGAAAUCCCGGGGCUCAACCUCGGAACUGCCUUUGAUACUGCGAAUCUUGAGUCCGAUAGAGGUGGGUGGAAUUCCUAGUGUAGAGGUGAAAUUCGUAGAUAUUAGGAAGAACACCGGUGGCGAAGGCGGCCCACUGGAUCGGUACUGACGCUGAGGUGCGAAAG